GAGACCUUUAUUAUAGUCUAUAGACUCGCUAUAUUACAUUUGGUUUGUUCGUUAAGAGUUCGUAGCAUUCUGUAAAGUGGUCGAGGCUGCUAGGGUUUAUCGUUUUUUCUUUACCACAUCGCUUCAGGUUCUUGACUUCUUGUGAAAGGCUGAAACGAUGUCUCGCGUUUAUGUUGGUAACCUGGAUUCUCGAGUUUCUGAGAGAGAUCUUGAAGAUGAAUUCCAUGUUUUCGGAGUUAUACGGAGUGUGUGGGUUGCACGGAGACCUCCUGGUUAUGCUUUUAUUGACUUUGAUGACCGCAGAGAUGCACAAGAUGCUAUUCGUGAAUUAGAUGGUAAGAAUGGAUGGAGGGUAGAGCUUUCUCACAACUCUAGAGGUGGAGGUGGUGGUCGCGGCGGUCGAUCUGGUGGUGGUGGUGGUGGUGGUGGUUCUGAUUUGAAAUGUUACGAGUGUGGUGAACCAGGUCAUUUUGCUCGGGAGUGUCGCAUGCGUGGCGGUUCUGGAAGACGCCGGAGCCGCAGUCCACCUCGAUUCCGCAGGAGCCCAAGUUAUGGACGAAGGAGUUACAGUCCUCGUGGGCGAUCCCCUAGGCGUCGCAGCUUGUCACCUCGUGGACGCAGCUAUAGCAGGUCACCUCCUUACCGUGGGCGUGAGGAGCUAACAUAUGCUAACGGAAAUGGCGUAAGGGAUCGACAACGAAGCAGAAGUUGAUUUUAAGAGUUGUUAACCGCGACUGUUAAGUGGAUAGUGAGAUUUUGUUAAUCUAGUGUGCUUCAACUGCAGUAUACGUCUGUUUUAUUGGGCAAUGCCCUGAGCUUCUACUCUGGGAUUGGUUUAGUUACUUUCUUGAUUUCUUAGCUUGUGUUCUUUUAUCUCCUCGGACUUCUUGUAGUUUCAUUGCAGGUGUCUUCUGGUACUGCUUCCUUGGUUUUGUGCUUCUGCAUUCACUGGGAUAUCGUCCCUGGCUGCCCUUCUCUGGGAUGGGAUUUUCUAUUUUUGAAUGGUUGUUAGUCCCAGCCAGCUACAUGCUUCUGUUUCAUUGAGUCUCGCUACUUGUGAUGUGCGCGCCUCAAACUCUAAUAGCGUAUGUUUUUAUUAAAUUAUAAGGGGUUGACGGGCUGCAUCAAAUACUUCAGGGAGGUAAUUAAUUACAUAUGUUCUACAGAAGUUGGGCUUAUGGGUUUUUUCUAUACAUGUGAUAUAUAGAUCAUCAUAAUGAAACGGUAAAGUGUGUUUAAUGGAUAAUCAAAACUUGAUGCUAUGUUUUUUUUUAGCAUUCAACUUUAUUCUCAUAAAUUAUAUAUUUUGAAUUGAACACCUAUGUCCUGAAAAAUCCUAGCAAGGUUGAUUAUUUUUUUGAAUUUUGCAUCAAUUUCGGGUCCCUAGUUUUAAUCCUUACAGUUGCCUGACCUUUGUUGAUUAUUUGGUUAGCUCUGCCAUGUUAUGUGAUUUUUUUUCUUGAAGAGCUCGCCCUGGUGAAGAGGUGAUAGUACACUUUUGAUUCAGCAUCUGGUUUGGGUUCUUCCAGCUGGAUGAUUUGACCUACUAAAAUUUGAUAUUCACCUCGGUUUGAUUUAAUAUUUACAACGGAUAUUGUUGGCUAGGAAGGUGAAUUAUGUUGAGAUGGGUUCUGAGUUGUGGCUGAGCUGGGCAUCAGUUUGUGCCUUUUUUGACUUGUGGCCUCUUCUCAUCUGUGUUUCCGUGGCCUAUACAUACUACGUUAUCUGUCUUUAAACUGGAAAAUCUGAGUCGAAAGGGAUUCUUUACUCCGUGUUUUUGAAUAGUAAAUAAUUAACAAAACUGGAGUUUACUACAAGGUUGGUACUUUAUUGUGUUGUAAUUAUUGUAGUUCAUCAAACAUUUUAUGUUGUUUUCACCAAACAAGAUGUUAAGCUUGCAAUACUGUUACUGAA
Molecule: RNA transcript, 1914 nt
Organism: Gastrolobium bilobum
Lineage: Eukaryota; Viridiplantae; Streptophyta; Magnoliopsida; Fabales; Fabaceae
Gene name: serine/arginine-rich splicing factor RSZ22-like
Exons: 7
Source: RefSeq, a predicted model, not a curated record